RNAcentral lists this ribosomal RNA (1149 nucleotides) under Macrophthalmus quadratus. Its description in RNAcentral is "16S ribosomal RNA". The record is from RNAcentral. Lineage: Eukaryota; Metazoa; Arthropoda; Malacostraca; Decapoda; Macrophthalmidae.
AAUAUAAAAUACUUGUUUGGAAGGAAAGUUUUAAAGUGCGUUAUGAAAAAUAAUUUUUUUAUAUUUUUGUUAGUAGCUUAGAGUAAAAAUUAAGGUAAAGAACUAUAGUAAAAAGUACCGUAGGGGAAAGUAACAUAAAAUUAUGAAAAGUAAAAUUAAAAGUUUGUACCUUGUGUAUCAGAGAAGAUUUAUAUAAGUUAAGUAUUUAUAGGUCUCGAAAUAAAAUAUAGUAAUUUUUAUAAAAUUUUCUUUUUAGAAAAAAAGAAUUAAAUAUAAAAUUAAAAGUGAAAUGCUAGCUGAGUUUUAUAAUAUCUAGUUUUUCUAAAAAUAAAUUAAAUUUAGUUUUUAUAUUGUAAGUGUAUAAAAUUAAAUGGUAGGAGGGAUUAGCUUCUUAUGAAAAAAAAGGUGGAAAAGUUAAGUGAAAGUAAAAGAAUGUAAAUUAGGCUUAAAAGUAGCUAUAUUUAUAAAGUGUUUAAACUAGGUUAUAUUGUUUAUAAUAUUUUGAAAUAACUUUCUAGGGUAUAGAAAAAUUAAUCUAAACUUAAGAGAAUAAGAUAUAAUAAUUUUAUUAGUAAAAUUUAUUAAGUAAAAAAUAUAUUAAAAUAUUUGUGUAAAUUUAGUAUAGUGGCAUUAGUAAAAAGGAAUUCAGCAAAAAUUUUCUUUGCCUGUUUAUCAAAAACAUGUCUUUUUGUGAGUGAGAAAAAGUCAAACCUGCCCACUGAUUUUUUAAGGGCCGCGGUAUUUUGACCGUGCGAAGGUAGCAUAAUCAUUAGUUUUUUAAUUGGAAUCUUGUAUGAAUGGUUAGACAAAAGAAAGUCUGUCUCUUUAUUAAAAAAUUGAAUUUAACUUUUAAGUGAAAAGGCUUAAAUAAGUUAAAGGGACGAUAAGACCCUAUAAAGUUUGAUAUAGAGUAUUAUUUAAUUGAAUUGAAAUUAAAAAUUUUAUAAUACAGUUUAUUUUUUUGGGGUGAAAAAGGUAAAAUGUUCAGUAACUGCUAUAAAUAUAAUACAUGUUAGUUGAAAUAAGUUUUUAAAAGAUCCAAAAUAAAGAUUAUAAGUUUAAGUUACUUUAGGGAUAACAGCGUUAUUUUUUUUGAGAGUACAUAUCGAAAAAAAAGUUUGCGACCUCGAUGUUGAAUUAAAAUUUCUU